GACGAACGCUGGCGGCGUGCCUAAUACAUGCAAGUAGAACGCUGAAGGAGGAGCUUGCUUCUCCGGAUGAGUUGCGAACGGGUGAGUAACGCGUAGGUAACCUGCCUGGUAGCGGGGGAUAACUAUUGGAAACGAUAGCUAAUACCGCAUAAGAGUAGAUGUUGCAUGACAUUUGCUUAAAAGGUGCAAUUGCAUCACUACCAGAUGGACCUGCGUUGUAUUAGCUAGUUGGUGAGGUAACGGCUCACCAAGGCGACGAUACAUAGCCGACCUGAGAGGGGGGUCGGCCACCCUGGGACUGAGACACGGCCCAGACUCCUACGGGAGGCAGCCGUAGGGCAUCUUCGGCAAUGGACGGAAGUCUGACCGAGCAACGCCGCGUGAGUGAAGAAGGUUUUCGGAUCGUAAAGCUCUGUUGUAAGAGAAGAACGAGUGUGAGAGUGGAAAGUUCACACUGUGACGGUAUCUUACCAGAAAGGGACGGCUAACUACGUG
This 495-nucleotide ribosomal RNA is filed under the name uncultured bacterium. Its description in RNAcentral is "partial 16S ribosomal RNA". It matches the Rfam family "Bacterial small subunit ribosomal RNA", at positions 28 to 507 of the family's 1533-position model. The record is from RNAcentral.